GAUGAACGCUGGCGGCGUGCCUAAUACAUGCAAGUCGAGCGAACGGACGAGAAGCUUGCUUCUCUGAUGUUAGCGGCGGACGGGUGAGUAACACGUGGAUAACCUACCUAUAAGACUGGGAGAACUCCGGGAAACCGGAGCUAAUACCGGAUGAUAUUUUGAACCGCAUGGUUCAAAAGUGAAAGACGGUCUUGCUGUCACUUAUAGAUGGAUCCGCGCUGCAUUAGCUAGUUGGUAAGGUAACGGCUUACCAAGGCAACGAUGCAUAGCCGACCUGAGAGGGUAAUCGGCCACACGGGAACUGAGACACGGUCCAGACUCCUACGGGGGGACGCGGGAGGGAAUCUUCCGGAAUGGGCGAAAGCCUGACGUAGCAACGCGGCGUGAGUGAUGAAGGUCUUCGGAUGGUAAAACUCUGUUAUUAGGGAAGAAGAUAUGUGUAAGUGACAGUGCACAUAUUGACGGUACCUAAUCAGAAAGCCACGGCUAACUACGUG
This 497-nucleotide ribosomal RNA is filed under the name uncultured bacterium. RNAcentral describes it as "partial 16S ribosomal RNA". It matches the Rfam family "Bacterial small subunit ribosomal RNA", at positions 28 to 507 of the family's 1533-position model. The record is from RNAcentral.